UACGUAGGGUCCGAGCGUUGUCCGGAAUCAUUGGGCGUAAAGCGCGCGUAGGCGGCCCGGUAAGUCCGUUGUAAAAGUCGAAGGCUCAACCUUCGAAAGCCGAUGGAUACUGCCGGGCUAGAGUACGGAAGAGGCGAGUAGAAUUCCUGGUGUAGCGGUGGAAUGCGCAGAUAUCAGGAGGAAUACCGGUGGCGAAGGCGGGUCUCUGGGCCGAUACUGACGCUGAGGAGCGAAAGCGUGGGGAGCGAACAGGAUUAGAACCGUACCGUAC
Molecule: ribosomal RNA, 271 nt
Filed under: uncultured bacterium
Lineage: Bacteria
Description: partial 16S ribosomal RNA
Rfam family: Bacterial small subunit ribosomal RNA
Source: RNAcentral